GAUAUCGAUGAGUGUAACACCAUGUGUGAUAGUACAUUGGCACAAUGCAACAACACUUUGGGAAGUUAUUCGUGCACUUGCAAUCCUGGAUACACUGCUGAUGGGACUACCUGUAGAGGCACAUCUACGCUUGAAGAAAUCACUUUAGCCCCAGUUUUGAACCAAUCCGCAACAAGCACGUUAGCCCCAACUUUGAACCAAUCCGCAACAAGCAUGUUAGCCCCAACUUUGAACCAAUCCGCAACAAGCACGUUGAACCAAUCCGCAACAAGCACGUUAGCCCCAGAUUUGAACCAAUCCGCAACAAGCACGUUGAACCAAUCCGCAACAAGCAUGUUAGCCCUAGCUUUGAACCAAUCCGCAACAAGCACUGUAGCCCUAUUAUCAGAUGGUGGUGCGGACCCAACGUCAUCUGUGCCUGAUAUUGGGGAAACCCCCGCCCAAUCCGGCUCAGUUAUGAGUACUGGGAGCACGACAACUUUCAACAGCACAUUGGAUAUUCCUAAUACAAAGUCAAGCUUAACCGGUGGUCAAGUGGCAGGCCUAGUCAUAGGCACCUUGCUGCUGGUCGCAUUGAUUGGAGGCAUUGUGUUCACUCUUGUGAAGAAACAGUCUCCUGGAUCUGGGAAACAUAUUUCUAUGACAGAGAUGAAUGCUUAAUGACUCCAACUGGAGUGAGAACAGUGGGAAGGUUUUCAACAAGCCUUGGCAAGUGGAAAAAGCUGACGGCCAGUUCCAGUCAUUGUUAGCAUUCCUGUAGUGUUACACCACGCAUACACAUGCAUGCAUAUGUCAACACACCUAUAUACAAUUAUUAUGCAUGACUGUAAGAGGUAAUAAUCAGUAUGCAUUUCACACGAUAUUUUUUGAUUUUUCAUUGCUAUUGGAGUGAGCAUUCUGACAACACAUAGUGCCUAUCGUAAAUGCAUUUCCACUAAUAUCUGUGAAGGAGUUUUUUCGCUGUGCACUGUUACAUUUUGCCUCCAAGUUUAUUUGUUAUCACAAAUCUAUACUGUCGUUGAUAAAGGUUGCUGCACUCAGCUAGACCAGUUGGUUUUCCAUUGAGCGAAGAGAGCAUUCUUACAACACAUAGUGCCUAUCGUAGAUGUAUUUCCCCUGAAAUCUGUGAAGAAGUAUAUCCUCUGUGCACUGUUACAUUUUGCCUCCAAGUACGUUAGUUUGUCAUGAGGAAUCUGUACUUUUGUUGAUAAAAUAAUGUCGCUGCACUCAGCUAGAACAGUUGAUUUCUAAUAAUUGAUAUUGGAGUGCGCAUUCUUACAACACAUACUAAGUAGUGCCUAUAGUAGAUGCAUUUCUACUGAUAUCUGUGAAGGAGUAUUUUCGCCAUGCAUUAUUGCAUUUUACCUCCAAUUAAUUUGUGGUCACAAAUCUGUACUUCCGUUGAUUAAUGUCGCUGCACUCAGCUUGAACGCAGUUGGUUGUCCAUUGAUCGGAGAGAGCAUUCUUACAGCACAUAGUGCCUAUCAUAGAUGUAUUUCCACUGAAAUCUGUG
Molecule: long non-coding RNA, 1513 nt
Organism: Sycon ciliatum
Lineage: Eukaryota; Metazoa; Porifera; Calcarea; Leucosolenida; Sycettidae
Exons: 5
Source: RefSeq, a predicted model, not a curated record